AUACGUAGGUGGCAAGCGUUAUCCGGAAUUAUUGGGCGUAAAGAGUGAGCAGGCGGUUAAUUAAGUCUGAGGUUAAAGCGUGGGGCUCAACCCCAUAAAGCCUUGGAAACUUCUUGACUAGAGGACGGGAAAAGUGAAGGGAACUCCAUUGGGAGCGGUGAAAUGCGUAGAUAUAUGGAAGAACACCAGUGGCGAAGGCGCUUCACUAGCCCGAAACUGACGCUCAGUCACGAAAGCGUGGGUAGCAAAUAGGAUUAGAUACCCUAGUAGUCCACGCUGUAAACGAUGACAACUAAAUAUUGCCGCGAGGCAGUGUUGAAGCUAACGCAUUAAGUUGUCCGCCUGGGGAGUACGGUCGCAAGACUGAAACUUAAAGGAAUGGGCGGGG
RNAcentral lists this ribosomal RNA (388 nucleotides) under uncultured bacterium. RNAcentral describes it as "partial 16S ribosomal RNA". It matches the Rfam family "Bacterial small subunit ribosomal RNA", at positions 523 to 918 of the family's 1533-position model. The record is from RNAcentral.